GCUAAUAUCGCACCCGAGGCAUCCACGAGGAAAGGAAAAGAAAAAGUGGACGAGGAAUAGACACGGGAAUUACGGUUGUAGAAGUCAAGUACCGAACCAGCAUCCAAAGCCAGACCCGACUUCAGCAAACUUUUGGUGAUGUAUAAUUUUCCUUGGUAAUGUGGCAUGUACAUAGGACAUGUAUAAAGGUUACUAUGUUUUUAAUAUAAAUGGUUGAAAAUGUUAGUAUUAUAAGUUUAUGAAUUAUAAUGAAAGAAGUUUAUCUAUAUUUAUUUAAUUUAGUAUAUUGUUAAAUUUAAAUUGAUAUUAUGUUGAUUAAGUUGAUUAGAAAGUAUUUGGAAUAGAAAUUGAGAAUGUGAAAUGAAUUGGUUGUGAUUUGAAAAUGAAAUGGUUUUAAUUGCAGGG
This is a long non-coding RNA of Gossypium raimondii (Peruvian cotton), 405 nucleotides long. RefSeq lists it as uncharacterized. Lineage: Eukaryota; Viridiplantae; Streptophyta; Magnoliopsida; Malvales; Malvaceae. The transcript is spliced from 2 exons. The record is from RefSeq and is a predicted model, not a curated record.